CGGGGGUAAAGAAAUCUCAGUGAUUUCAGUCGAUUAAACCAGGCCUGCUGGGUCUGCUGCUUCUGGAUUUAUUUAUUUUUAUUUCUUUCUUUAUUUCUUUAUUUUACGUUUUUGUAAAUGAGCCUUCCAGGGUCCUCGAGUGCUUCCCACGGGGAGUGACAAUCACAAUCUGCUGCCUCGCCUCUCCACGGGAGCUCCAGAAAUCUUAACAUCCCAUCAAGAGCUAAUUACAUUCUGACACAGCCUGGAGAGCUGAGGAGAGAGCAGAGAAUGGCUCUGAAAUUACACGGAACACACGGAAUAUUUGGUGCCGUGAAGUGCCAAGAGCAGCAGAGAGAGACGGGAAAAGGGGAAUGGGAAGGAGCCGGAAUGGGAUUUGGACUGGAAACCCCUCCCAGGCCCUGGGUCCAGGCCCUGAUCCUGCACUUCACUGUUGCUUUCAAACACUGCAGCUCUUCCGAAGGGGAAAAGGACCCUGCCUGGGGGAGAUGGGCACAGCCCGGAGCUGCAGCUGAUGGAAACACCUGCAGAAGGAUCCAGGCAGACCUCAGACCCCUUCCAGCGUCUCUGAAACACUCCAGGAGCUGCAGAGGGAUUUUGGAAAAGGGCCUGGAGGGACAGGACAAGGGGGACUGGGCUGGGGGGCUGCAGUGUCGUGUCCCCCCAUCCUGAAGGAGCUGCUCUUUCCCAAAUCCCACUGACCAGCUGCCUCCAUGCCAACAAAACUCUUUUUUAAGAUUAUUGGCUCUGCUCAGGAGCGUGGCAGGAGGGUUGUGGCUGACCAGGCAGCAAAUUAACUGGAAUUUCAUGAUGCAAUCACUUAUAGGAUGCCUAUGUAUUUUAGUGAGACACUUUCUGAACAGGAGAUGCUCUCUGUCCACACUGCUGGGCUCCCAGGGGCCUCACAGGACAUUUCCCUUUUUAGUGACCUUCACAGGAGAGAAAAGAGUGAUCUUCAUUUCCCUCGGAUUUUAUUGUGCAUUUUGUUCCCUUCUGCUUUGCAGUGAUUUAUUCCUCUGGAUUUAAAG
RNAcentral lists this long non-coding RNA (1028 nucleotides) under Parus major (Great Tit). Its description in RNAcentral is "lncRNA (ENSPMJG00000007226.1)". The record is from RNAcentral. Lineage: Eukaryota; Metazoa; Chordata; Aves; Passeriformes; Paridae.